AUGGCAGCCGCAGCACUGAGGGCGCAGCUCAACGCCCAUAUCGCCGGCAUGUACACCGAGUGUGUGGUGGACGAAGACAUGUUUGAGGAGCUGCGGGAGGAGGGCACCGCCGUUGAGGUCUCCCGCCUCUUCAUCAAUGACGCCCACGAGAUCAUCGACGACAUCGACACCCUGAUGGAGCAGCCCCAAGUGGACUUCGACGAGGUGGAAGCCCUGACGCAGCAGCUCAUGCGGUGCACCUCUAGGUGCCUCGUGUCCUUGGCUCUUGUUAGGAAUGAGUUAUUUAUUGUGCGACAUGAGUUGGAGGUCAUGAUCGAGCUCGAAGAGCAGAUCGCGGCAUGUGGUCCUAACUCCUAA
Molecule: ribosomal RNA, 357 nt
Filed under: Triticum aestivum (bread wheat)
Lineage: Eukaryota; Viridiplantae; Streptophyta; Magnoliopsida; Poales; Poaceae
Description: partial small subunit ribosomal RNA
Source: RNAcentral